AUUGAACGCUGGCGGCAGGCCUAACACAUGCAAGUCGAAUGGUAACAGGAAACAGCUUGCUGUUUCGCUGACGAGUGGCGGACGGGUGAGUAAUGUCUGGGAAACUGCCUGAUGGAGGGGGAUAACUACUGGAAACGGUAGCUAAUACCGCAUAACGUCGCAAGACCAAAGAGGGGGACCUUCGGGCCUCUUGCCAUCAGAUGUGCCCAGAUGGGAUUAGCUAGUAGGUGGGGUAACGGCUCACCUAGGCGACGAUCCCUAGCUGGUCUGAGAGGAUGACCAGCCACACUGGAACUGAGACACGGUCCAGACUCCUACGGGAGGCAGCAGUGGGGAAUAUUGCACAAUGGGCGCAAGCCUGAUGCAGCCAUGCCGCGUGUAUGAAGAAGGCCUUCGGGUUGUAAAGUACUUUCAGCGGGGAGGAAGGGAGUAAAGUUAAUACCUGUGCUCAUUGACGUUACCCGCAGAAGAAGCACCGGCUAACUCCGUG
Molecule: ribosomal RNA, 490 nt
Filed under: uncultured bacterium
Lineage: Bacteria
Description: partial 16S ribosomal RNA
Rfam family: Bacterial small subunit ribosomal RNA
Source: RNAcentral